GCCCGCCUAGCUCAAUCGGAUAGAGCGUCAGACUCUUACUAGCAGGUUUGGGCGAUCUGAAGGCUGCGAGUUCGACCCUCGCGGUGGGCU
Non-coding RNA from Cerioporus squamosus, 90 nucleotides. NCBI's taxonomy places the organism in Eukaryota, Fungi, Basidiomycota, Agaricomycetes, Polyporales, Polyporaceae. The record is from the annotation of a GenBank genome assembly.